This 475-nucleotide ribosomal RNA is filed under the name uncultured organism. Its description in RNAcentral is "partial 16S ribosomal RNA". It matches the Rfam family "Bacterial small subunit ribosomal RNA", at positions 331 to 797 of the family's 1533-position model. The record is from RNAcentral.
GUACACUCCUACGGGAGGCAGCAGUGGGGAAUUUUGGACAAUGGGCGAAAGCCUGAUCCAGCAAUGCCGCGUGAGUGAAGAAGGCCUUCGGGUUGUAAAGCUCUUUUGUCAGGGAAGAAACGGUGAAAGCUAAUAUCUUUUGCUAAUGACGGUACCUGAAGAAUAAGCACCGGCUAACUACGUGCCAGCAGCCGCGGUAAUACGUAGGGUGCAAGCGUUAAUCGGAAUUACUGGGCGUAAAGCGUGCGCAGGCGGUUUUGUAAGUCUGAUGUGAAAUCCCCGGGCUCAACCUGGGAAUUGCAUUGGAGACUGCAAGGCUAGAAUCUGGCAGAGGGGGGUAGAAUUCCACGUGUAGCAGUGAAAUGCGUAGAUAUGUGGAGGAACACCGAUGGCGAAGGCAGCCCCCUGGGUCAAGAUUGACGCUCAUGCACGAAAGCGUGGGGAGCAAACAGGAUUAGAAACCCUGGUAGUCCCA